Molecule: ribosomal RNA, 451 nt
Filed under: uncultured bacterium
Lineage: Bacteria
Description: partial 16S ribosomal RNA
Rfam family: Bacterial small subunit ribosomal RNA
Source: RNAcentral
GUGGGGAAUAUUGGACAAUGUGGGGAACCCUGAUCCAGCCAUGCCGCGUGUGUGAAGAAGGCCUUUUGGUUGUAAAGCACUUUAAGCGAGGAGGAGGCUACCGAGAUUAAUACUCUUGGAUAGUGGACGUUACUCGCAGAAUAAGCACCGGCUAACUCUGUGCCAGCAGCCGCGGUAAUACAGAGGGUGCAAGCGUUAAUCGGAUUUACUGGGCGUAAAGCGCGCGUAGGUGGCCAAUUAAGUCAAAUGUGAAAUCCCCGAGCUUAACUUGGGAAUUGCAUUCGAUACUGGUUGGCUAGAGUAUGGGAGAGGAUGGUAGAAUUCCAGGUGUAGCGGUGAAAUGCGUAGAGAUCUGGAGGAAUACCGAUGGCGAAGGCAGCCAUCUGGCCUAAUACUGACACUGAGGUGCGAAAGCAUGGGGAGCAAACAGGAUUAGAUACUCCGGUAGUCC